RNAcentral lists this ribosomal RNA (1521 nucleotides) under Campylobacter jejuni. Its description in RNAcentral is "partial 23S ribosomal RNA". It matches the Rfam family "Bacterial large subunit ribosomal RNA", at positions 1412 to 2925 of the family's 2925-position model. Lineage: Bacteria; Pseudomonadati; Campylobacterota; Epsilonproteobacteria; Campylobacterales; Campylobacteraceae. The record is from RNAcentral.
UAGACGAUGGCAAAUUGGUUAAUAUUCCAAUACCAACAUUAGUGUGCGAUGGAAGGACGCUUAGGGCUAAGGGGGCUAGCGGAUGGAAGUGCUAGUCUAAGGUUGUAGGAGGUUAUACAGGCAAAUCCGUAUAACAAUACUCCGAGAACUGAAAGGCUUUUUGAAGUCUUCGGAUGGAUAGAAGAACCCCUGAUGCCGUCGAGCCAAGAAAAGUUUCUAAGUUUAGCUAAUGUUGCCCGUACCGUAAACCGACACAGGUGGGUGGGAUGAGUAUUCUAAGGCGCGUGGAAGAACUCUCUUUAAGGAACUCUGCAAAAUAGCACCGUAUCUUCGGUAUAAGGUGUGGUUAGCUUCGUACUAGGAUUUACUCCGAAAGCGAAGAAACUUACAACAAAGAGUCCCUCCCGACUGUUUACCAAAAACACAGCACUCUGCUAACUCGUAAGAGGAUGUAUAGGGUGUGACGCCUGCCCGGUGCUCGAAGGUUAAUUGAUGGGGUUAGCAUUAGCGAAGCUCUUGAUCGAAGCCCGAGUAAACGGCGGCCGUAACUAUAACGGUCCUAAGGUAGCGAAAUUCCUUGUCGGUUAAAUACCGACCUGCAUGAAUGGCGUAACGAGAUGGGAGCUGUCUCAAAGAGGGAUCCAGUGAAAUUGUAGUGGAGGUGAAAAUUCCUCCUACCCGCGGCAAGACGGAAAGACCCCGUGGACCUUUACUACAGCUUGACACUGCUACUUGGAUAAGAAUGUGCAGGAUAGGUGGGAGGCUUUGAGUAUAUGACGCCAGUUGUAUAUGAGCCAUUGUUGAGAUACCACUCUUUCUUAUUUGGGUAGCUAACCAGCUUGAGUUAUCCUCAAGUGGGACAAUGUCUGGUGGGUAGUUUGACUGGGGCGGUCGCCUCCCAAAUAAUAACGGAGGCUUACAAAGGUUGGCUCAGAACGGUUGGAAAUCGUUCGUAGAGUAUAAAGGUAUAAGCCAGCUUAACUGCAAGACAUACAAGUCAAGCAGAGACGAAAGUCGGUCUUAGUGAUCCGGUGGUUCUGUGUGGAAGGGCCAUCGCUCAAAGGAUAAAAGGUACCCCGGGGAUAACAGGCUGAUCUCCCCCAAGAGCUCACAUCGACGGGGAGGUUUGGCACCUCGAUGUCGGCUCAUCGCAUCCUGGGGCUGGAGCAGGUCCCAAGGGUAUGGCUGUUCGCCAUUUAAAGCGGUACGCGAGCUGGGUUCAGAACGUCGUGAGACAGUUCGGUCCCUAUCUGCCGUGGGCGUAAGAAGAUUGAAGAGAUUUGACCCUAGUACGAGAGGACCGGGUUGAACAAACCACUGGUGUAGCUGUUGUUCUGCCAAGAGCAUCGCAGCGUAGCUAAGUUUGGAAAGGAUAAACGCUGAAAGCAUCUAAGCGUGAAGCCAACUCUAAGAUGAAUCUUCUCUAAGCUCUCUAGAAGACUACUAGUUUGAUAGGCUGGGUGUGUAAUGGAUGAAAGUCCUUUAGCUGACCAGUACUAAUAGAGCAUUUGGCUUAUCUUU